GCCUUAUCAAGAGAGGUGGAGGGAAAAGGCCCUAUGAAGCCCAGCAACCGCCCUAAUGGGUACGGUGCUAAUUCCUGCAGGACAUUCUGCAAGAUGAGGA
Molecule: non-coding RNA, 100 nt
Filed under: Alkalithermobacter thermoalcaliphilus
Lineage: Bacteria; Bacillati; Bacillota; Clostridia; Peptostreptococcales; Tepidibacteraceae
Description: Clostridium paradoxum SAM-I sequence
Rfam family: SAM riboswitch aptamer (S box leader)
About the family: The SAM riboswitch is found upstream of a number of genes which code for proteins involved in methionine or cysteine biosynthesis in Gram-positive bacteria. The SAM riboswitch acts at the level of transcription termination control.
Source: RNAcentral